CUACGUUUAUAUACAUACUAUAUAUAAGAGUAAGAGCUGCAGAAAUAAAUCUCAUCCAUUCCAAAUACAAACGAAAGCUGAUAAUUAAUAGUCUCUAUUUCUUGAAAAAAAUGACUUGCGGCGCCAGCUGCACAUGUGGGACUUGCCCAGAUUUGGAGAAGAGCACUACUACUGUUACAGUCAUUGAGGGAUCUGAGAAAAGCUCGGGCAGUGAAGGAGGGAACGGAUGCAGGUGCGGAUCGAGCUGCUCAUGUGAUCCGUGCAGGUGUUAAGCAAUCAAGAUGUGGUGAUUGUGUGUUAUGAAGAGUAAAGUGAUGUAGAAGAAUAAAAGAGCUACUAUUGUCUAUUAAUUAUAUUCACCUCAAGCAAUUAAUUAAGGAGAUGUUAUGUUAUGCUCUAUGCUUGUUGGUUGCACGCUCUUAUUAUAUGCGUUUUCAUGUACUAUGUUGUUACUCAAAAAGUUCUAUGGAUUGAUUAUAUAAAAUUAUUUGUUAUGUGUGUGAUA
Molecule: long non-coding RNA, 505 nt
Organism: Salvia splendens (bonfire salvia)
Lineage: Eukaryota; Viridiplantae; Streptophyta; Magnoliopsida; Lamiales; Lamiaceae
Exons: 2
Source: RefSeq, a predicted model, not a curated record